RNAcentral lists this unclassified non-coding RNA (346 nucleotides) under Mycolicibacterium monacense. RNAcentral's name for it is "partial 16S-23S ribosomal RNA intergenic spacer". The record is from RNAcentral. Lineage: Bacteria; Bacillati; Actinomycetota; Actinomycetes; Mycobacteriales; Mycobacteriaceae.
GUAGCCUGUACCGGCCGAUGCGGCUGGAUCACCUCCUUUCUAAGGAGCACCACGUGAAACACCUCCGUUGGUGAUGUGUGUGCCGUGAGGAACCCGUUGUGCUGUAGUGGCGCCGGGUUGGGUGCAUUAUGCAAGACAACACUGACGCCGCCGGGGGGUGGGGAAAAGCCCGGCCGGAAAAAGAAAUUGCAAAACACACUGUGGGGCCCGAAGCAAACAGGCCGCCGGCCUCUCCCUUUUGCGAACGGUGGCGGCUCUCCAAGGUGUCCUGGGGUUCUGGUUGGCGGCCUGGUUUUGUGGGGGGGUGGUGUGGUUGAAUUUGUGAUUGUGGUUUGCCAGCAUAAUA